This 284-nucleotide ribosomal RNA is filed under the name uncultured bacterium. Its description in RNAcentral is "partial 16S ribosomal RNA". It matches the Rfam family "Bacterial small subunit ribosomal RNA", at positions 28 to 305 of the family's 1533-position model. The record is from RNAcentral.
AGCGAACGCUGGCGGCGUGCUUAACACAUGCAAGUCGAGUGCGCGGUUCGUAGCAAUACGAACUGGCGCACGGCGCACGGGUGAGGAACACGUGGGCAACAUGCCCUCCGAUGGGGAAUAACCCGCCGAAAGGCGGGCUAAUACCGCAUACGAUUCCGGGGACCUCGGUUCCUGGACUGAAAGCCCGCAAGGGCGUCGGUGGAGUGGCCCGCGGCCGAUUAGCUUGUUGGCGGGGUAACGGCCCACCAAGGCAAUGAUCGGUAGCCGGUCCUGAGAGGAUGAUC